GAGGGUAUAGCUCAUGGGUAGAGUGUAUGCUUAGUGUGCACAAGGUCCUGGGUUCAAUCCCCAGUACCUCCA
Molecule: transfer RNA, 72 nt
Organism: Camelus ferus (Wild Bactrian camel)
Lineage: Eukaryota; Metazoa; Chordata; Mammalia; Artiodactyla; Camelidae
Rfam family: tRNA
About the family: Transfer RNA (tRNA) molecules are approximately 80 nucleotides in length. Their secondary structure includes four short double-helical elements and three loops (D, anti-codon, and T loops). Further hydrogen bonds mediate the characteristic L-shaped molecular structure. tRNAs have two regions of fundamental functional importance: the anti-codon, which is responsible for specific mRNA codon recognition, and the 3' end, to which the tRNAs corresponding amino acid is attached (by aminoacyl-tRNA synthetases). tRNAs cope with the degeneracy of the genetic code in two manners: having more than one tRNA (with a specific anti-codon) for a particular amino acid; and 'wobble' base-pairing, i.e. permitting non-standard base-pairing at the 3rd anti-codon position.
Source: Rfam